GUCACAAAACAAGUAAGUCAGAUACUGGGUUUUAUGCAGUCGGACUCUGGCAAUGACAGUAAAAAAACAUGAAGUGCUUGCUUGCUUGCAGUGGAGUUCAUUACAGGAGAAGCUACUGAAGAGUGAGUUGGAGGAGUUGUCUCAGAUCUAAGUUUAAAACAAAUAAUCCAAAAGAUUUAGACUAGUAUCUGAAACAGUAGUCAAACAGUAUUCUACAGGGACCCAUAAAUUACAAUGGAAAUUGAGGCUGCAAAACUACAAACUGUGGAGUGUGCUGAAACUGGCUUGCUUGCAGUAGACAUGCUGCUAAAUGACCCACUAAGCAGAGUCAAAAUGUCUUUUUGGUAGAGGAACAUCAUGACUCUGAUCAUUCAGUAAACAUCACUGUGCUAUUGUGUAAAAGGUCCUUGAUCUGCUCACUCCUGAAUAUUGUGUGUGGGACCUGCUAUCUCAGAAAACAGUAUAGUAAAAAUGAAGGGAUAUAGUCUUAGGAAAAAUUGGGUGAUAUACUAGAAAUCAAUAAAAUUGUGGCUGUUUUGGCAAAGGUGAGAUGAGAAUGGAUAUUCUCUAUUUUUUUUCUAAAACAUGAACAAGGGGGGAACCCAACUGAACCAUUUGGAAGCAGUUUUAAAAACAAAACAAAUAAACAUAGUUUGGUUGUGUAACUUGUUGCCACAAAAGUUUUGAAAACUGGAAGGAUAAAUAGAUGCAAAGAAUUGUGGUAUAAAUUCAUGUAAGAAAGGUCAAUAAAAGCUAUUAAAAACAGUACUGUGCACAUGGCUUUCAGCUCAGGAAAUCUGUAGGACCCAGGUCAUUGGAACUGGUAGCAUAUAGGUUAAAAUAAUCCAUGGAAGUAGCAUAGUUAACUUCUUUCUUAUUUUUCCUAAGCAUCUGCUACUGUAAUCCUGUUAGGCACAAGAGAGUGGGCUGGGCAGAUCUUUGAUCUGGUGUAUUUGAUCAGUACUGUGAUUGAUACUGCUCUUUUUCUUCCAAAAAUGAAGUCUUACUGGAAAAUUGAUAAACUGGACUCACAUGAAAGUAUCUAAAAUACAAGUACAGUAGAUACAUUGGCAGAGUAGACACUGUCUUUUACCUGUUUGUUAAAAAAGAACAUUGGUGAAAUCACAUCCUAGCAGAUGGUGUUAAUUGUGUAUUCCCUACUUUAACUGUUGUGAAAGGUUUUGCAAGAGCACCGAGAACUUGGAUUCUGGUACUGUCCUACUAAAUAAUAGCUCGCUUAGUUGUGAGCAAGCCCUCCCUAUGGAGUAAUAACUCCCUAGUUCACCUAUGGGCAUAACACACCACAUAGAGCCAUGUGAACCAGAAAAUGUGUUUUUGGAAUACUUGUUCCUUGUGAUGAGUAGUGGGACUAUGUAAGGCAGCACCCAGAAAGACAUUCCUGGGCAUUUUGUUGUGCUAACAGCUAUUGAAGUGCUGGGACUCACUUGCACCCUGCUUUUAGAGCUGGUGAUGUUGAGCUGCUUUGGCAAAGCUGUUUUUCUUUUUAUUUAAUGCAUCAGAAAACCAAGAAAACAAGUAGAUGUAAGAAUGCAUUUGGAUUCCAGUGAACCUGCCUGGUACAUCACUCUAGAAACAAAAUUCCUGCUUACACACAGAAUUUACAGAAAAGAAAUUUGUUAAAACUGGUAUGAAGCUGCCAUGGUAAAAUCCAGAAGGAAAAUGCUUUGACUGUGAUUGUCAGAAAUUCAUGUUUCCCGUUUUUCAAAAUGGGACAUGAGUUGAACGUGUUUUAUGUUUCCUACAACUAGCAAUUUUCUUUCUUUGAAAUGUGUUAGAGGGAGGAGUCCAGAAGUGCUGUGGGAGGGACUAAAAUUCAUAUUAAAGUUUUAGCAUGAGAGGGAGAAUUGUCAGAGUAGAAGGUUUCUUCUGAGGUUUUGCUUUCUUAUUUUUUUUUUUUUCCAAUUUAGGAUGAUAAAUAUUCAUGUUCAGAUUCUUCUAACAAUUCUUUUUUGGAAUUCUGAUUGUCAGAUUAUUCCCAGGAUUGAAGAAUGUGGACUUUCAUGUUCUCAGGGGAUUCAUUGUAAAAGCAAGCCUUCCAGUGAUAUUUUUAACAGCUUCUGCCAUGAUGCUCCUGCAUCCUUACCUUCCAUGGUACUGAAAAGCAUGAAGAUCUCAACAGUGAUGAAAUGUGCCCAAGGAAGCCCAUGCUCUCUUCAUUUAAACAUUAAAGGAAUACUGAGUCUGGAUGAGAAUAUCCGUGGGCUGGAAAUCUGUUCUCUUUCACUGGACACACAGCAAUCUCAGUGCAUAAACGUGAGGUUUGCUAGGAAAAAAAGCAAGAUGCUUAAUGGAAAAAAGGUACAGAUACAAUUCAAUUGCAUUGAAGUCAAUGUAGCACAACACAUCUAUGUGACCAUGAAAACAGUACCAAAUUACUGUGAAGUCAAGCUGAGUCAGGAAUACUAUGUUGAAGAUUGCAGAAACAGUGAUGUGGGAAAAUAUAUUCCAGCUUGUUCAGCUGGAAAGUUUGAUUAUAAUGUGGACAGAGCAAGGAAAAUUAUUUCAGUGAAUGUAUCCAACUUUCUUCGAGAUCAAGAUUAUUACAUUCGCCUGUGCCACAAAUGGUUUACAUGUGAAGAUGUAGGAUCAUUUGCUAUGAUAAAAGGGAAGGAAUCACUAAAAUCAGUUUCUCUGAAAUAUUCUCGGCUGCUGCCUUGUCUUUGCAUUGAGGGCUGGCUGGCAAUUCCAGAUGCAAGGAGGAUACAACUUUGCCCUUUUGAAAAUGAUACGAAGGCACUAUGGGAUAAUAUUGUUUAUAACCCAGUGACACAAACCCUAGCUUGGGAGCCAGCCUGUCCUGUGCUUGUCAUUGUUAACCUAUGCAGGUUAAUGAAGUCUAAUGACUACUGUGAAGAUAUACAAAACUCUUCCAGAAGUUCUCCUGAGAAACAGGUUAAAUAUUCUCGUGUGGACACUCACCCAAGGCUUUGCAUGAAGUUUACAACCAAACAAGGCUCUUGGGUUAAAUGUCCAUUUGCUCAUGGAGAAUUUCCAGGGAGAUUCUGUAUCAAUUGCUAUGUCACAGGAAAUGUGUGGGUCAGCGUUUUGCAUUCAGGGCUGGAGGACAGAUGUAGAUUAUUCAGUUCCACUGCAGAUCUGUGAUAUCCACUGUGGUUUCCGUGGUCAGACAUAUAGCGAUGGAAACCCAGCAAAGGCUAUGGCACACAGAAUGAAGAGUGUGCAUUCCUUGCAUUGAAUUUAACAACACAUUUUGAAGGUCCUUAGUAUAUUGUCGACAUCAGGUUGUAUUUUGGUGUAACUUGCAAAUCUUGUCUAAAUGGUCAUCUCUCAUGUUGGUAGUUUCUACUAAUUACUGUGAGAUUAUUGUUGUGAGGGAAGCAUAUAGCAAGUUAGACUUAUUCUAACAUGUCCAAAAGAACAUGAAUUAUGAUUCCUUAUUUCCUAAUAUUUAAAACCAAAAAAUGUCUUAGAUCACUUAGAGAAUCAGGUUCACAUUUUCUUCUAAAUCGAUAUUAUACAUACAAUAUUCUAUAAAUGAGUAUUGUCAUAGUACCCUGUGUACCUAUAGAACAAGUAUUUCAGAUUUUCUUAUUUGUAACUUUUGUUUUUAAACCAUAAGCAAAAGUGUCUGAGAAAUUAAGAACGGAGGAAGUUUUCUCAGCUUCUUUACAUUAUCAUUCUUUGCAGUUUCCUUUGUUUUCUGAUGCCAUUCUGAUGAAUUCACCAUGACAGACCAUAUUCCUUAAAUAUAUCUAACAACUGCUUUCUGUGUUUGCAUUUGUAUUUGACUUGGAGAUAACUUUCUUAUUUGUCUGAGGAGGUACAUGUCUUUGGUUUGAUAGCUAUUUAAAACUGUCAUGUGGAAAUCCAGCCUAGAAGGAAACAGUUUAGUUGAAAUAAUUGAAGUAUUUUUUUUCCAUUAUAUCAGUAUUUAUACUCAAUUAUUCAAAAUAAUAUUACAUGCUGUACUGAUUAUCACGUUUGGCCUUUAUUUCCCUAAAUACUCCCUUCAAACAUCCUUACUUCCUGUUGUGCAACAAAGAAAGGAAGAAAGUCAACUAAAAGAUGAUUAUUAACAAAUCCUGAAACCAUGUGGAAUUGCUCAUAUGGGAUCAAGAAUAUGGGUGGGGAGUGAGGGUCUGGAACAAGAAGCUGAUCAAUAAAAAAAUACUUUCCA
RNA transcript from Pezoporus occidentalis (night parrot), 4159 nucleotides. It is a transcript of the gene named interleukin 17 receptor E like, with no coding region annotated. The record is from RefSeq and is a predicted model, not a curated record. The transcript is spliced from 16 exons. Lineage: Eukaryota; Metazoa; Chordata; Aves; Psittaciformes; Psittacidae.